GUGAUUGAGACGCCUCCAUGCUGGUUUCCUUAGACUGGAACAAAGUAACAAUUCAGGACCAGGAUUCUUCAAACGGCAGAGUAAACACGGGAUAAGCUAAUAGCUCGCAGCUGAAGCAGCAUGAAUUCCACCAGACAAAAUGGACUGGCAGUUGGACCUAAGUAAUCUCACUAGCUGUCUUCCUACCAAGCUGGUAUCAUAAAGUUUCUCUGACAUCAGCCCAAUAGUAGCUGGAGGGAGCUGACUUCAAAGAGGAAAGCCAGUGACCAGCAGAGGGAGCGCAAUUGCAUAACAUCUUUGUGACCGAGACUCUUUGAAUGUGGACCAACUUCUGCUGUGUGGGGGAGGGGGCUGGCAUCAGCACACAGUGACAUGGGAGCUGGUUCAUCUUUAUACACCAGAAAGUCAAAGUGGGGAAGCAGUAAGAAAGCUGAGGAUUGUUCCUGUUUAGGAGAUUAGCAAGGUAAUCCUAAACAGAGCUGCACCCUUCUAAACAGAUUGACUUCAACAGACUUAGAAGGAUAUCCCUCUGCUUAGGAGAACGCUGCAGGAUUCAGGGAACAAAUUGGGAUGAGGCCACAGAGCCAAGAAACCAAAAGGAAGGGGCUUUAGCUACGCCUUUCAUGUCCUGCUCCUAUCCUUGAUUGGCCACUGGGGGCCAGAUAAAACAACAUGAUAGGCACAUGGUAAAUGCAGGCCACGGGCUGGCCCACUCUGGUCUAGGAAAAUGAGAAUGCUGAAGGACCUUUCUUUCUGCAGUCUUCCACUUUAGGACUAACAGUAUAUGAUUCCCAAUCAUUCCCAUAGCAGAUUCACAAGGGGCUGUGGUUGGAUAUUUGAGACACGGGGGAGAAAAAUAAUUCUAAACAUCCCCCAUUGUUCUUGGCAGCUUACAAUACAUUUUUUAAAACACCCAAAUUCCCCUGUAGUGAAAUGGAAUUGUUUAGGAAAGGGACAAGGGUGAUAAUUUGGGGCACCAUUUACUGCCCGUAUUUCUUGUUUUCUAAUUUCUGUAUGCCAAUGUUUGCAUUUUCUAUUUCAUGCCCUACACGGCUUUUAUUUCAAUGUUUUCUGACUUUGUAAGUACAGCCUCAGUACAGCUUUUAUUAUUUGGCUUAUACUGUUUCUACGGCCUUGUGAAAGUUUGUAGCCUGCCUUGAGUCUCGGUGAGAAAGGCAGACCAUAAAGUGAGCAAUUUUUUAAAAAGACUUAAUAAAAUGCCUG
This is a long non-coding RNA of Sphaerodactylus townsendi, 1224 nucleotides long. RefSeq lists it as uncharacterized. Lineage: Eukaryota; Metazoa; Chordata; Lepidosauria; Squamata; Sphaerodactylidae. The transcript is spliced from 3 exons. The record is from RefSeq and is a predicted model, not a curated record.